RNAcentral lists this ribosomal RNA (497 nucleotides) under uncultured bacterium. RNAcentral describes it as "partial 16S ribosomal RNA". It matches the Rfam family "Bacterial small subunit ribosomal RNA", at positions 28 to 507 of the family's 1533-position model. The record is from RNAcentral.
GAUGAACGCUGGCGGCGUGCCUAAUACAUGCAAGUCGAGCGAACGGACGAGAAGCUUGCUUCUCUGAUGUUAGCGGCGGACGGGUGAGUAACACGUGGAUAACCUACCUAUAAGACUGGGAUAACUUCGGGAAACCGGAGCUAAUACCGGAUAAUAUUUUGAACCGCAUGGUUCAAAAGUGAAAGACGUUCUUGCUGUCACUUAUAGAUGUAUCCGCGCUGCAUUAGCUAGUUGGUAAGGUAACGGCUUACCAAGGCAACGAUGCAUAGCCGACCUGAGAGGAUGAUCGGCCACACUGGAACUGAGACACGGUCCAGACUCCUACGGGAGGCAGCAGUAGGGAAUCUUCCGCAAUGGGCGAAAGCCUGACGGAGCAACGCCGCGUGAGUGAUGAAGGUCUUCGGAUCGUAAAACUCUGUUAUUAGGGAAGAACAUAUGUGUAAGUAACUGUGCACAUCUUGACGGUACCUAAUCAGAAAGCCACGGCUAACUACGUG